AAGCAGGCAAACACAGUCAUCACCAUCUUCGGCUUCACUUCCACGAGGUCAUCAGGCAGCGCGUAUAUCCGGGCGCCGAUCUUCCGAGCAACUGAAAUGGCAUAUCUUGAAAAGAAAAGACAGACAUCUUGGGAACCCAUAUUUUUGAUGUCCAUACCUUUCCUGUGGACGUAAGCCUCAAGGAAAGCUCUUGUCAUCCAGUGCUCUAGGAGUGAAACUGAACACGGGAAAGGGCUGGAGAGACGGCUCAGCAGUUAAGAGCACUGGCUGAUCUUCUAGAGGACCUGAGCUCAGUUUCCAACACCCAUGAGGUGGCUCAGAACCAACUGAGUUCCAGUUUCAGGAGAUCAGAAGCCCACUUCUGACCUCCACAGGCACUAGACAUGGACAUGGUCUGACAGAACUUUCAGCGUGUAUCUGCAACAGAAACGAUGAACUUGAGACAAGGGGAAGGAAUUUGUUCUCACACAUAGCACACAUCAACCCUUACGGAACAGAACAGCCAAGCAAGUGAUGUUUCCACCUGGAACCCCAGCCCGUGAGACUGAAGCUGGAGGACGGCAAGUUCCCGUCUCCAAAAGUUCCCAACUUUAGCCUGGCAUUUGCACUUACUUACAUUCAAAGGUUAUAAAACUCACUAAUCAAAGCCAAGCACUACCGAAUAGUGUUUUUAAAAUUUAAAACAACUCCUUAACAAAGCCAUUUAAAAGGCACUGAUGUUAAGUGAUUAGAUUGCUAGAGAUCAGCCCACAUAAUUUUGGAAAUAUAUAACCAAUAGCAAAUCUCCUACAGGAUUAAUUUAUUUCACAUUGUAUGUUAGGUUCAUGAGUCUCCAGAAAUAGCUAGGUAUUUGGUUCAGAUGGUUUGCUGGAGGAAGCUGUGUUGCUGUAAAGACACAAGCCUUUACCUUCUCAUCAACUGCCACACCAGAGCCAGGGUAAGUGUUGCAUUCCCUUCAUUUAAGUCCUGUCCGGCGAUACCAACCAAAGAGAAUUUGGCCUCGUUCUUCCCGAGCUCAACUGCGUAGUUGCAGUUUUCAAUCUGGAAGCACGUAGAGCUAACUGUUAGCAUAAAGACAGAUCUCAAAAACAUUCCCAGGCGGUGCCAACUAGUCCAACCGCCUGUGACAGCAAGGACAUUGUAUGCGACUGAAUGUUAUUUCACAGUAACCAAGUGAAACAGUGACACCCACUUCCUGGGGACAGGUUUGACCUAGAUUGAGAAGAUGGCUGAACCCUGAAGACCUGACCACAGCUUACACAGUUUAUUAAUGAAAAGUCCAUGGCUAAAAAUGUUUAUCUUGUGCACUCUUUGACAUUCGGGUCUCUGUCCACUUGAUCGGCAAAGGCUUUGUCUGGGAUGUGGCUGUUCUGUAGCAGUUCCCUCCUAAAUGAUAUAUUCUGCCUAGAAGGGAAGUUUCCUAAGACAUGGGGCAUUCUACAGGGAAAUGAAACAUUCCGAGCGUGGGGGUGCUCAAAUUCAGGGAGUCCCUGAAAAUGACCAGACUCACUGGGCUCCUCCCUCUCCAAGCUUAUUCAAUCAAUAAGGACUGUUGAGAGAUGCUCUCAGAGUAACGGAGCUGCUCAGACCAGCCGAGCCGCCUGAAGAGAGACCCCAACCUGCUAAGCACCCUGCAGGCUGUGCAGUGAACUCUGUUUCGGGCUUCGUGAGCUGUCACGGUGCUCGGGUGGGCCUUGGUAAGCUGUGUCUGAGUCCUUCCUGCUCCUGUAAGGAACCCCUCGCCCACACUUGUAUUCUUGUAAAUGACGCCAAUAAAACCCAUUGGUUCACCAA
Molecule: long non-coding RNA, 1794 nt
Organism: Rattus norvegicus (Norway rat)
Lineage: Eukaryota; Metazoa; Chordata; Mammalia; Rodentia; Muridae
Source: RefSeq, a predicted model, not a curated record